GUACACUCCUGCGGGAGGCAGCAGUGGGGAAUUUUGGACAAUGGGCGAAAGCCUGAUCCAGCAAUGCCGCGUGUGUGAAGAAGGCCUUCGGGUUGUAAAGCACUUUUGUCCGGAAAGAAAUACUUGGCUCUAAUACAGUCGGGGGAUGACGGUACCGGAAGAAUAAGCACCGGCUAACUACGUGCCAGCAGCCGCGGUAAUACGUAGGGUGCGAGCGUUAAUCGGAAUUACUGGGCGUAAAGCGUGCGCAGGCGGUUUGCUAAGACCGAUGUGAAAUCCCCGGGCUCAACCUGGGAACUGCAUUGGUGACUGGCAGGCUAGAGUAUGGCAGAGGGGGGUAGAAUUCCACGUGUAGCAGUGAAAGGCGUAGAGAUGUGGAGGAAUACCGAUGGCGAAGGCAGCCCCCUGGGCCAAUACUGACGCUCAUGCACGAAAGCGUGGGGAGCAAACAGGAUUAGAAACCCUGGUAGUCCCAUG
Molecule: ribosomal RNA, 477 nt
Filed under: uncultured organism
Description: partial 16S ribosomal RNA
Rfam family: Bacterial small subunit ribosomal RNA
Source: RNAcentral